Molecule: ribosomal RNA, 433 nt
Filed under: uncultured bacterium
Lineage: Bacteria
Description: partial 16S ribosomal RNA
Rfam family: Bacterial small subunit ribosomal RNA
Source: RNAcentral
AACGAACGCUGGCGGCAUGCCUAAUACAUGCAAGUCGAACGAGAUCUUCGGACCUAGUGGCGCACGGGUGCGUAACGCGUGGGAAUCUGCCCUUGGGUUCGGAAUAACUUCUGGAAACGGAAGCUAAUACCGGAUGAUGACGUAAGUCCAAAGAUUUAUCGCCCAAGGAUGAGCCCGCGUAGGAUUAGCUAGUUGGUGGGGUAAAGGCCCACCAAGGCGACGAUCCUUAGCUGGUCUGAGAGGAUGAUCAGCCACACUGGGACUGAGACACGGCCCAGACUCCUACGGGAGGCAGCAGUAGGGAAUAUUGGACAAUGGGCGAAAGCCUGAUCCAGCAAUGCCGCGUGAGUGAUGAAGGCCUUAGGGUUGUAAAGCUCUUUUACCCGGGAUGAUAAUGACAGUACCGGGAGAAUAAGCUCCGGCUAACUCCGUG